GCGGACGUGGCGGAACUGGUAGACGCAAGGGACUUAAAAUCCCUCAGCCUAUGGCUAUCCGGGUUCGAUUCCCGGCGUCCGCACCA
Molecule: transfer RNA, 86 nt
Filed under: Mesorhizobium sp. 131-2-1
Lineage: Bacteria; Pseudomonadati; Pseudomonadota; Alphaproteobacteria; Hyphomicrobiales; Phyllobacteriaceae
Description: tRNA-Leu
Rfam family: tRNA
About the family: Transfer RNA (tRNA) molecules are approximately 80 nucleotides in length.
Source: RNAcentral